UAACCACUCAGGCUCUCGCUUGGUAUUGGGGUUCGCGGUUUCGCGGCCCCUAAAAUCAGUGGCGGUGCCUAUCGGCUCUACGCGUAGUAGUACUCCUCGCGACUGAGUCCGGUAGGUCUACUUGCCAGCAACCCGUAAUUUUUUAA
RNAcentral lists this unclassified non-coding RNA (146 nucleotides) under uncultured Ascomycota. RNAcentral's name for it is "sequence contains ITS2". The record is from RNAcentral. Lineage: Eukaryota; Fungi; Ascomycota.